RNAcentral lists this unclassified non-coding RNA (303 nucleotides) under uncultured fungus. RNAcentral describes it as "partial contains small subunit ribosomal RNA, internal transcribed spacer 1, and 5.8S ribosomal RNA". The stretch from base 1 to 73 matches the Rfam family "Eukaryotic small subunit ribosomal RNA", at positions 1759 to 1831 of the family's 1831-position model. The record is from RNAcentral. Lineage: Eukaryota; Fungi.
GCAAACUUGGUCAUUUAGAGGAAGUAAAAGUCGUAACAAGGUUUCCGUAGGUGAACCUGCGGAAGGAUCAUUACGAAGGCGCCUCGCGCGCUCGGGCUUCGGCCCGCCACCUUUCCAAACACCUCUGCGUACUUAACUUUUGUUGCUUCCCGCCGCGCCUCGCGGCCGGCGGGGAGGUCCGCUCAAACUCCUUUUUGUAUUGGCAGUAGCUCAGUCGCGCCGGCUCAGUCCGCGCAAAGAUAUAAACAAGUCAAAACUUUCAACAACGGAUCUCUUGGUUCCCGCAUCGAUGAAGAACGCAGC